UACGGAGGGGGCUAGCGUUGUUCGGAAUUACUGGGCGUAAAGCGCACGUAUGCGGCUUUGUAAGUCAGGGGUGAAAUCCCGGGGCUCAACCCCGGAACUGCCCUUGAGACUGCAAGGCUUGAAUCCAGGAGAGGUGAGUGGAAUUCCGAGUGUAGAGGUGAAAUUCGUAGAUAUUCGGAAGAACACCAGUGGCGAAGGCGGCUCACUGGACUGGUAUUGACGCUGAGGUGCGAAAGCGUGGGGAGCAAACAGG
RNAcentral lists this ribosomal RNA (253 nucleotides) under uncultured bacterium. RNAcentral describes it as "partial 16S ribosomal RNA". It matches the Rfam family "Bacterial small subunit ribosomal RNA", at positions 524 to 776 of the family's 1533-position model. The record is from RNAcentral.